Molecule: ribosomal RNA, 253 nt
Filed under: uncultured bacterium
Lineage: Bacteria
Description: partial 16S ribosomal RNA
Rfam family: Bacterial small subunit ribosomal RNA
Source: RNAcentral
UACGUAGGGUGCAAGCGUUAAUCGGAAUUACUGGGCGUAAAGCGUGCGCAGGCGGUGAUGUAAGACAGUUGUGAAAUCCCCGGGCUCAACCUGGGAACUGCAUCUGUGACUGCAUCGCUGGAGUGCGGCAGAGGGGGAUGGAAUUCCGCGUGUAGCAGUGAAAUGCGUAGAUAUGCGGAGGAACACCGAUGGCGAAGGCAAUCCCCUGGGCCUGCACUGACGCUCAUGCACGAAAGCCAGGGGAGCAAACGGG